ACUGGGAGCGUGGCGUCUCCUGUAACGUGGCUGCCCACGGGUCGGGUUACGGACUGAUUUGAGGUUGGGGUCCACUGUGUGCCGGGUAAGUCCAUGUUGACGGGACGUCCGCACUAAGCUGACCGUCAAUAUGGGUGCAAUGGGGGAGCCCGAUGCAUUCAGGUUGGCUAAAGAGAGAUGAACCGAGCGAGGGGUGAAAACCAGCAGCUAAAAGUCUCCGCGGUAAGCAGUAGUGGGAUCGCGUCCCGGAGUGGACUUCCGGUGCCAGCCUAACCAAUACAGUCACACCGUAACCUUU
RNAcentral lists this signal recognition particle RNA (298 nucleotides) under Aedes aegypti (yellow fever mosquito). RNAcentral describes it as "SRP RNA AAEL019388". It matches the Rfam family "Metazoan signal recognition particle RNA". Rfam says of the family: The signal recognition particle (SRP) is a universally conserved ribonucleoprotein. The record is from Rfam by way of RNAcentral. Lineage: Eukaryota; Metazoa; Arthropoda; Insecta; Diptera; Culicidae.